This 28-nucleotide non-coding RNA is filed under the name Mus musculus (house mouse). The record is from RNAcentral. Lineage: Eukaryota; Metazoa; Chordata; Mammalia; Rodentia; Muridae.
UGUCACUGAAAUGCAGAAGCUGGCCCAU